CCUCUCGACUUAUAUGAGAGGUCCAGCCUGCCCAGUGACUAAAUUCAACGGCCGCGGUAUCCUAACCGUGCGAAGGUAGCGUAAUCACUUGUUCUUUAAAUGAGGACUAGUAUGAAUGGCACCACGAGGGUUACACUGUCUCCUUUUUUUAAUCAAUGAAACUGAUCUCCCCGUGAAGAAGCGGGGAUAUUUAUAUAAGACGAGAAGACCCUAUGGAGCUUUAAACAUCUAUAGCACUGGUCCACACUUCAUACCCUUCUGAAGUUUAAUCAUUAUAUAGACCAGCAUAACUAUUAGUUUUAGGUUGGGGUGACCGCGGAGCAAAAAUUAACCUCCACGUUGAACGGAAUUUAUCCUGAGCUAAAAGCUACGACUUUAAGCACCAACAAACUGACAUCAAUUGACCCAACAUGUUGAUCAACGAACCAAGUUACCCUAGGGAUAACAGCGCAAUCCAUUUCAAGAGCCCCUAUCGACAAAUGGGUUUACGACCUCGAUGUUGGAUCAGGGUAUCCCAGUGGUGCAGCCGCUACUAAAGGUUCGUUUGUUCAACGAUGAAAACCCU
Molecule: ribosomal RNA, 565 nt
Filed under: Dendropsophus tritaeniatus (three-banded treefrog)
Lineage: Eukaryota; Metazoa; Chordata; Amphibia; Anura; Hylidae
Description: partial large subunit ribosomal RNA
Rfam family: Bacterial large subunit ribosomal RNA
Source: RNAcentral